CAGGCCAUACUGUGCUGCCGCC
RNAcentral lists this non-coding RNA (22 nucleotides) under Xenopus laevis (African clawed frog). Its record names the gene xla-miR-15a-3p. Lineage: Eukaryota; Metazoa; Chordata; Amphibia; Anura; Pipidae. The record is from miRBase by way of RNAcentral. RNAcentral also lists the same sequence under 1 other name.